Long non-coding RNA from Dicentrarchus labrax (European seabass), 412 nucleotides. RefSeq lists it as uncharacterized. The transcript is spliced from 3 exons. The record is from RefSeq and is a predicted model, not a curated record. Lineage: Eukaryota; Metazoa; Chordata; Actinopteri; Moronidae.
CCACAUAAGGGAGCUCAGACAGACAGUACGAUACACAGAGUAAGAGGAUGACCUUUUUCAGAGUUGAUGUCCAGAGCGAGCGAAGGAGUCAGAUAGUUCUAAGUAACCUUCACGCUGUGCCGCGCUUUUUUCAUCUCUCUUUAUCGCUGUCUUUGUCUGUCUUUGUCUGGGGUUUCAUUGCCGACGUUGGGUCAGUCAGAGGAACAGGCCAGGUCACCUUCUUUGUUUGACAGGAGGCAGACGGUGCACUGUGUGGGGGAGAGGCAGCUUAUUGGGCCUGAUGGAUGGAGGGCCACGGGACGCUGACAGGGCGGCAGCCUUGGUUGGAAGAGGACGGGGCAGAGUUGGAAAAAGGUGAUGUCACAUACUUUCAUCCAUCAAUCAGGAUUUGAUCAGAAUCUGGUGAGCUGUU